This 1155-nucleotide long non-coding RNA is filed under the name Heterocephalus glaber (naked mole-rat). RNAcentral's name for it is "lncRNA (ENSHGLG00000047018.1)". The record is from RNAcentral. Lineage: Eukaryota; Metazoa; Chordata; Mammalia; Rodentia; Bathyergidae.
CAUUCUGACUGCCCCUAAUGCCAGUUUCUUCUAUUAAGGACAACACAGCAGGGUUGCAUAUGGAGGGGCUUUCUCCACAAACAUGAAGUUCUACAAUGUGACUUGUCUGAUACUAUCAGAUCAUGCCUUCUAUGUAAGAGCUGAAGACUUCUGUUUGUGGCCAUUCAUUUUGUUUUGUCUUGUUUUGUUUUUUGUGUUUUUUCUUUUGUUUCCUUUUUACUUGUGCCACUGGGAAUUGAAUCCAGGGCUUUCACAUUGAGCUAUGCCCUCAGCUCUUUUUAUUUUAUUUUUAAUUUUUUCAAGACAGGGUCUUGCUAUGUAUUCCAGCUUUGGGUUCACUGUGUAGCCCAGGCUUGGCCUCAAACUUCUUACUAUCCUCUUGCCUCAACCUCGAGAGUGCUGGGAUUACAGGUGUGCACCACCACACACAGUCCUUUUCAUUUUGUUUAUUUUGAGACAAGGUCUGGCUAAAUUGCUCAGAUGGGACUUGAAUUUGUGAUUCUCCUACCUCAGCCUCCCAGAGUGCUGGGAUUAUAAACCUGUGCCUCUUGGUCCAGUUUCUUUUUUAAAAUGCUGGAAAGGAUCCAGGGAAGCUGCAUCAUUUUUAGAUAGGAGAUGACAUCACUUCCCAACUUGCUUAGGAGGCCUAAAGUCUUGCUCUAUUCUUGGUCUAGCACCUCACUUUCCAUUCUCUUUACAACCUAUUGUCCUUUUUUGUACUUAGCCUAGCAGGACCUGGGGGGCCCAGCUUGAAAAAGGAUGUUAGCAUCCCCCUCCCUUCUGCCGACCUACCUCCUCUUGUAGCAACCUGGCGCCCCCUCGACAACUCAUGGCCAUCUUCUCACCCGUGGAGGACUUGUGUUCCUGUCUCCGUCCUCUGCCACACAGGCAAAGCUCCCUUGUGACUGAAGCAGAAGAGAAGGGCCUGAUGCUCCCCGUAAGCAAGCUGCAGUCAUGGGUCAAUCCCAGAUGACUCUCCCCUGCAGCCUCUCUGGAUGACUAUUUCUCUACAGCCACUUCAGAUAUCCUCACUCUGGUCCAGGAGGAGCUCCUGGCCUACCCAUGACUGAGCAGAAAGUCUGCAGCUACCUGGCAGGACACUGCGUGUGUGGGCCUGCCUUCUAUUGUCUAUAUGAGAAUAGUGCAUGUACUGCU